UUUCCCAUAACACAAGUUAGUAAGACCCCUGAAAGAACAUCAGGUUGAUAGGUCAGAGGUGUAAGCGCAGUAAUGUGUUAAGCUGACUGAUACUAAUAGGUCGAGGGCUUGAUCUA
This 116-nucleotide ribosomal RNA is filed under the name Bacillota bacterium. Its description in RNAcentral is "partial 23S ribosomal RNA". It matches the Rfam family "Bacterial large subunit ribosomal RNA", at positions 2810 to 2925 of the family's 2925-position model. The record is from RNAcentral. Lineage: Bacteria; Bacillati; Bacillota.